UAGUGGUGUGACAUAGCAUAGGGCACAGAAACAGCUGCAGGAGGAAUUUCACUUUGUGAAGUCACAGAUGCAUAAAACAGCUACAUUUCUUUUCUGUUGAGGGCCUGGGAAGUCACAGAUUGUAAGCCACGCAUUGCAGGAGCCCAGGAGGGCUCUCAGAGAGCACUAAGCUGAAUGAAGCUUAAUAUUCUUCAUAAAUAAAUCAUGCAGUGCAAGACAUGUGGGAAGCACGAAUAGAGGGAAAAGAAGCCCUGUCUGAAUUUGCCUGGCAAACUUCACAGAAUACUGGCCUGCUGCCUUUCAUCACUGAGAAAUCACGCAGCACCUUCUCAGCUAUUCAUGCAUGUGCAGUCUUGUAUUUGUGGUUGCAAGGAAAACCAUGUUUUGCUUUUCGCCCUGUAAAUGAAAACGUAGUUGCUGAAGCUGCAUGUGAUGGAGUUGUUAUUUUCUACCAGAUCCUCUUGGACUUCAAGGGAAAAAAAAAGGCACUUCUGCACAAAGCAUCUAACCUCCGCUGAAGCUCACAGAGAUUUCUGAGGUCCAAUGGUAUGUCAGUGAUCGCUGCUCAGGAGUCUGUUCUUCACCUGUACUUCCAGAGCUCUUUUCUUGAGGAUUUAGCCAAUUUCUCACUGCCACACUUAAAUUUGACUCAAGGGGACUAUGGACACAUGUAACACAGAGGACAGACUCUUCAGUCUGUUGUGAUAGGACAAGGGGAAAUGGUUUCAAACUAAAUCAGGGGAAAUUUAUAUUGGAUGUAAGAGAAAAGAUUUCACAGUAAGGAUAAUGAAGCACUACAUCAGGUUUUCCGGAGAGGUAAUUGAUGCUGCUCUGCCCCAUCCCUGGUGCAGAAGGAUGAAAUUCUCAUUUUUGUCCUCUGGUGAUCAAUGGAAAAACCACAGUGUAUUUCGGCAGGAACAGCAAAGCAUGCCUAAUGCUUCUUCCCCAGAGAAAACAGUAAUACUUAACAAUUCCCACUGCAGCAGCAAAGUCCCUCACUAUCUGUGCAGGCUGGUGGUGAUCUGAAGAAAGGUCACGUACAGGUCACAGAUUUCCCUUUGAACAGAUCCAGGAGCCCCUGUACCCUGCAAAAGUGGCGGUGAAAAGCACUCAAAGUAUCGCAGCUGUCAUUCUAGAUCACAGGUUCCAGCAGGUAUGGACAUGUAUUAUCUUGCUUCCCAAUCAGCUCUGCCCUCUGUUCACCCCACAGCCCGAUUUUGUGGAUUCAGGAAACUUCCUACAUUCAAGCUGCACUCCAAGCUCACCGGUUUCAGCAGGAUGUCAGGGUUGAAUUCACGUCUGAAAUAGUGAGCUUUCUAUCAUGCCUUGCUUCUGGCUCUCCUCCUUCCUUCUUUUUAAAACACCGGAAACCAAUAACAAAAGCAAGGUUAAAAAAAGGUUAAAAUCUAACUUUCAUGCUGGAUUUGCAGACCUUCUGAGAGGGCUCAUUGCAUUUCUGCUACGUUUCUACUGCAUAAAAACACAUCUCAUAGCUGCAUAAGCAAUAGAGAUGAGUGCUAUCUGGCUGUGGAACCAUAUAAUGGACUUCAGCUUCUCAAGAUUAACACAUUUAUUCAUAGAAGUAGAUAAAAUGUGUGCAGAAUUGCCCCUUUCUGUAAUAAAACUCCGUGAAAAGAGGAUUAUGCAUUUUUCUAAAGCAUUCCUUUUGGAACGAUGCUUCCUUUUUUUUUUUUUUUUUCACUACUGAGCAAGGUAGAUUUCAUAAGUUUGGUUUCUGAUGAUAAAUUGGAUCUAGCAAGUCUCUACAUCUUUGAAAGUGACAGCUUCCCCGUUAGCCUAGCUGUAUUUUCUUCUGUGCUUGAGCCCUUUUUCAUGUAAUUCAGUCACAGAGCUUUUUUAAACUUCACAGCCUGGCGUUCCCUUUCUUUAUCUUGAACCCUGUGGGAUAAGGUGUGUUGCCUCCAUGUUCUUGUACUUUUUAGAGUCAUCUUCCAAUGCCAUGUAGAGAUUGGAGCUAUCCUUUUCUAUCUCCAGAUUUGUAAUGCGCACCUUGCAUUACAAAAAUAUGAAAUUGUUUGAGGAAUUAUCUCCAUUUAUCUCUUCAAAAAACAACCGAACAAAAAAACUGGUUUUCAUUGAAACAAAAUCCUCUAAGAUGUGCGAAACAGUGACCUUUAACUUAAAAGUUUAUUCUCAAGCAGUUAUUCAGUCCUGGUGAUCUAAACUGCUGUGACAUAAAACCUUGAAGCCAUCAACACAGUGACAAGGGCUAUGCCUGUACUGACCACUUUUGAGGGACAGUUCUGCAAGGAUGCACAAGCACUUCUGUGACAUUCUGGGCUCUCACUAUCAAGAAAUGAGGUCUAUUCACAAGCACAGCAGCCAAUACCUGGCAUUUUUAGCUCUGAAGCCAACCAUCACUGAGCAGGACUACGUGAGAUGUUCAGAGCAGUAGAACGUCUGAGACUCAAAAACCAUGUGGAUGUGGCAUUGAGGGACAUGGUUAGUUAGCAUGGUGGGAAUGGGUUGAUGGUUGAACUAGAAGAUCCUAGUGGUCUUUUCCAACCGUAACGAUUCUAUAAUUUGACCAAAUAGUGCCUGAUAACUCUGUCUCUGUGUCUAACGGUGAACAAACAUCUCCAACUGCAAGUCCUAGAAGUCUUUGGUUAUGGAAAAAGCAGCAGGGAAGAACAUAGCAUGUUUUUCACACUUCAGUGAUUAGCACAAAAAUAAGAAAUUUAAGAACUGGUAAAGCUAACGUGCAUGUGUCUGGUAUGCUCUUCUUUUCCCUGACAGUCUACAUGAAGGGACAUUUCAGGCCCUAAACUAUCUUUGGGCCCAAUUAGGCAGUGGUAAUUUACUUGCUGUCACUGCUGUCACUUUCAUUUUGAUGCUCUUGUAAAUAAAAACCUUU
Gallus gallus (chicken) is the source of this 2875-nucleotide long non-coding RNA. RefSeq lists it as uncharacterized. NCBI's taxonomy places the organism in Eukaryota, Metazoa, Chordata, Aves, Galliformes, Phasianidae. The record is from RefSeq and is a predicted model, not a curated record. The transcript has 3 exons.